GGCAUCUGUGAGAAGUAUUUUAUGUUACCUUUAGUCGAUCAUUAAACACAGCUAGAGUUUGGAUUCGAACUCAAAACUUCUUCGAUAGGUAUAGUUGUAAAUGUGGAGUUCUUCCCCUUAGAUAAGCCUUUUUUUUUUUUUUUUUAAAUUAAUAUAUUGCUGGUUUAAUCUAUAGAGUCUUUGAACUAAUACAGCACAGCACACGCAAUGGCGGCUCUAGUAUUUGGACACACUUUACCACACGACCGCAUUUCUGACGUCACAUCCGGCAGAAGACAUCAUAUUCUCUAAAUAUUCUUCAUUGAGACGUCAGCCAUAUCUCUCAUGGAAUUUAAUCUGAGCAUAAGGUGAUCAGGUGACCUUGACCCAGAUGAAGGAAAAUUUGAUCACGAUUUUCACGAGCAGUGAAACUGACCUAUGAAUGACAUCCAAACAUUGUACUCAUAAUCCACAAUAAGAAGAGAACAAACUGGACCAUAAACUCAUAGAAACAGAGAAAGAAACAUCCAUAUAAGAAAGACACGUUGCUGUGAGUCCCUUAUAAGAUGUUUACCUUAUCUUCCAGAGCUGACGUAACCCUCGUUAAGUCAAGACGACUGAGCCAGCUAAUGGACAAGACUUAAGCAGGAGGACACAACUCAUAGAUGUACAGAGGUCUACUGAGGUGUACAGAGGUCUACUGUGGUCUAGCAUUGUAAGUAUACGUAAUAGAAAGGAGAAUACUUUUAGACUAGAUAGCAGUAACAUCUCUCUCGACAAGACAGUAACGCCACGAUCAUUACGAGAAAGGAUAAUUGGGGUGAAUGAAUUGAUGAACCAGAACCGAAGUGUCUAGAUUGUUUAAAAGAGAUCCAUCCCAUUCUCGAAAACAUAAUCGUUAAAGUACAAGUCAGUUCAAUUUUCAAGACCAAUU
This is a long non-coding RNA of Biomphalaria glabrata, 913 nucleotides long. RefSeq lists it as uncharacterized. Lineage: Eukaryota; Metazoa; Mollusca; Gastropoda; Planorbidae. The record is from RefSeq and is a predicted model, not a curated record. The transcript has 3 exons.